GCUCCUUUUCCGGUAUAUGCUUUCUCAUGCCUUAACAGAAGGCCUUCUGCCUCCUCGGGCACCUCGUGCUACUAUCACGAAAUCCUUGGCUUCCCACAAGAAAGCAGCCAACCAUCCCUCCACUUUACCUCAAAAAAAACUCUCUCUCUCUUUCUCUCAACAUUCACACACAAUAUAAAUAGCCAGCAGAUAUCAACGGGAACUAGAUUCAAAAAACAUUGGUUCUUUAAUCUUUAAGGAUGAGAGGUGCACUUGUUUCAAGACUGACCGGUGUUGUCUUGAUGGUCCUAGGGAUAACAAUGGCGAGUGGUGCUAGUUUGGAAAAAAUUUGGGUGAUAAUUGCUAAACUCUUGGUGCUCUUUGGGCCUCUUGUGGCCUCAACACUGACUGCAGUUGUGAUUGAUUUAGGGGUUUUAAGGCCACACUUGCAUGAAGCCCUUUUAGGUGAGCAGGUGAAUGAGAUCAUGUCAUGGCUCUUUCAACCCCUAGAGGUGAGUAAUUACUCGCAAAUUCAUGAAGACCAUGGCUGAACAUCAUCUCUCUUCUCAAAAUCAGUCACUUUUGCAGAUUCUCGCAUCUAGAACCGUACAGCUCUCCUGUAACAUAUGCGCCUUUCAAUCUAAAUGUUUAUAGUCUUCUUUUCCUCUUCAAACAAGUUUUUACUAGUAUCAAAUUUUGCCUGUCGGUAUCCCAUUUCUGACUUUAACCAGGGUGAGAUUCUGCCAGUUCUCUUUUCUUUUCUUUUUUUUGUACUGUUAACUGAGAUUCUGGCAUUUAUUGACACGACAAUCACCCCUGCAAGAGAGAUGCCGUAGUCCAUGCAAAAGAAAGAGAGAGAAAGAGGACAAGUGAGUGAGAGAAAGACUGCAAUUUCCAGCAACCAAAAAUGCAACGACCGCCUCACCCUGUUUCAUCCAAACCCUGCGAACCCAUCAUAAUAGCAGUUCAUAAUACGUGAGGACACAUUUAACACCACUGCACGAGAGAGAGGGGACAAGUGAGAGAGAGAGAGAGAGAGAGCCAUUUCCACCAACCACAAAUGCAAUAACCACCUCACCCUGUUUCAUCUAAACACCGCAAAGUGCAAACCCAUCAUAAUAGCAGUUCACAACAUGAGACUACCCAUAACACUAACACUGCACAUAAAUUACAAACACCACCCACCCCUCAACUUGAGCUCUCUGCUGGCUUACGCUUAAUUGUGACUACAUGCAGCUCUUUGUAGACCUCCGAGCAAGUGUGUGCAUAAUCUGAUAUGGCCCUAAAGAGAGGUGGAAGCCCAGUCUUAAGGCUCCCCAAGGACUUCUCUCUCAC
Molecule: long non-coding RNA, 1314 nt
Filed under: Amborella trichopoda
Lineage: Eukaryota; Viridiplantae; Streptophyta; Magnoliopsida; Amborellales; Amborellaceae
Description: long non-coding RNA (ATRI_LNC000194)
Source: RNAcentral